RNAcentral lists this ribosomal RNA (226 nucleotides) under uncultured bacterium. Its description in RNAcentral is "partial 16S ribosomal RNA". It matches the Rfam family "Bacterial small subunit ribosomal RNA", at positions 538 to 763 of the family's 1533-position model. The record is from RNAcentral.
GCGUUGUUCGUAUUUACUGGUCGUAAAGGUCGCGUAGGCGGCGUGACAAGUCAAUUGUGCAAUCUCCGGGCUUAACUCGGAACGGUCAAUUGAUACUGUUGUGCUAGAGUACAGAAGGGGCAAUCGGAAUUCUUGGUGUAGCGGUGAAAUGCGUAGAUAUCAAGAGGAACACCUGAGGUGAAGACGGGUUGCUGGGCUGAUACUGACGCUGAGGCGCGGAAGCUAG